AGAGUUUGAUCAUGGCUCAGGAUGAACGCUGGCGCGUGCUUAACACAUGCAAGUCGAACGGUGAAGCCCAGCUUGCUGGGUGGAUCAGUGGCGAACGGGUGAGUAACACGUGAGCAAUCUGCCCCUGACUCUGGGAUAAGCGCUGGAAACGGCGUCUAAUACUGGAUAUGAACCGUGGAGGCAUCUUCAACGGUUGGAAGAUUUUUGGUCAGGGAUGAGCUCGCGGCCUAUCAGCUUGUUGGUGAGGUAAUGGCUCACCAAGGCGUCGACGGGUAGCCGGCCUGAGAGGGUGACCGGCCACACUGGGACUGAGACACGGCCCAGACUCCUACGGGAGGCAGCAGUGGGGAAUAUUGCACAAUGGGCGCAAGCCUGAUGCAGCAACGCCGCGUGAGGGAUGACGGCCUUCGGGUUGUAAACCUCUUUUAGCAGGGAAGAAGCGAAAGUGACGGUACCUGCAGAAAAAGCGCCGGCUAACUACGUG
RNAcentral lists this ribosomal RNA (484 nucleotides) under uncultured bacterium. Its description in RNAcentral is "bacterial SSU rRNA". It matches the Rfam family "Bacterial small subunit ribosomal RNA", at positions 8 to 507 of the family's 1533-position model. The record is from RNAcentral.